GCUUAGUGGGACCGCCCUGAGAAGGGCCGGGUCAGCAGUGAAGACAGCCUCGGUCUGGCUCGGCUGCUCCGCCCACCGACGCCGCCAGCAGAGAGCAAAACUCUGCCUGGUCGCUUCCUGGAUCCUCACAACCGGUUACAAAGUGACUGGUUCCCUAAGGCUCCGCCCUUAUGAUGCAUUCCAAUCACAAAUGAAGUUUGUUGUUUCUUCUUCCGGAUCAAGGAACUAAUCGUGAAAUAAGAAUCUCUUGCCGCCUACGCAAAGAAAAUACUUCCGGGGUCAAUGAGGCUUGCAGCUUAAAGUUUGCCUUAAAUCUCAGAGGAGACUUUGGACUUGAAUUUUUCAGCUGCCACCCUGCCUUGGAACCAACUGAUUAUGGCAUGAAACCUCUACAAACUAAUUCAGCAGUGAAACUAUCAGGAC
Long non-coding RNA from Heterocephalus glaber (naked mole-rat), 423 nucleotides. The record is from Ensembl. NCBI's taxonomy places the organism in Eukaryota, Metazoa, Chordata, Mammalia, Rodentia, Bathyergidae.